This 663-nucleotide ribosomal RNA is filed under the name uncultured Clostridium sp. RNAcentral's name for it is "bacterial SSU rRNA". It matches the Rfam family "Bacterial small subunit ribosomal RNA", at positions 43 to 705 of the family's 1533-position model. Lineage: Bacteria; Bacillati; Bacillota; Clostridia; Eubacteriales; Clostridiaceae. The record is from RNAcentral.
UAUGCUUAACACAUGCAAGUCGAACGAGAAGGUUUUGAAUGAUCCUUCGGGUGAAAUUAGAACUGGAAAGUGGCGAACGGGUGAGUAACGCGUGGGUAACCUGCCCUAUGGAAAGGAAUAGCCUCGGGAAACUGGGAGUAAAGCCUUAUAUUAUGGUUUUGUCGCAUGGCAAGAUCAUGAAAACUCCGGUGCCAUAGGAUGGACCCGCGUCCCAUUAGCUAGUUGGUGAGAUAACAGCCCACCAAGGCGACGAUGGGUAACCGGUCUGAGAGGGCGAACGGUCACACUGGAACUGAGACACGGUCCAGACUCCUACGGGAGGCAGCAGUGGGGAAUAUUGCGCAAUGGGGGCAACCCUGACGCAGCAAUACCGCGUGAGUGAAGAAGGUUUUCGGGUCGUAAAGCUCUGUUAUUGGGGAAGAAAACAUGACGGUACCCAAUGAGGAAGUCCCGGCUAACUACGUGCCAGCAGCCGCGGUAAUACGUAGGGGACAAGCGUUGUCCGGAAUGACUGGGCGUAAAGGGCGCGUAGGCGGUCUAUUAAGUCUGAUGUGAAAGGUACCGGCUCAACCGGUGAAGUGCAUUGGAAACUGGUAGACUUGAGUAUUGGAGAGGCAAGUGGAAUUCCUAGUGUAGCGGUGAAAUGCGUAGAUAUUAGGAGGA